GACGAACGCUGGCGGCGUGCCUAAUACAUGCAAGUUGAGCGAUGAAGAUUGGUGCUUGCACCAAUUUGAAGAGCAGCGCACGGGUGAGUAACGCGUGGGGAAUCUGCCUUUGAGCGGGGGACAACAUUUGGAAACGAAUGCUAAUACCGCAUAAUAACUUUAAACAUAAGUUUUAAGUUUGAAAGAUGCAAUUGCAUCACUCAAAGAUGAUCCCGCGUUGUAUUAGCUAGUUGGUGAGGUAAAGGCUCACCAAGGCGAUGAUACAUAGCCGACCUGAGAGGGUGAUCGGCCACAUUGGGACUGAGACACGGCCCAAACUCCUACGGGAGGCAGCAGUAGGGAAUCUUCGGCAAGAGACGAAAGUCUGACCGAGCAACGCCGCGUGAGUGAAGAAGGUUUUCGGAUCGUAAAACUCUGUUGGUAGAGAAGAACGUUGGUGAGAGUGGAAAGCUCAUCAAGUGACGGUAACUACCCAGAAAGGGACGGCUAACUACGUG
RNAcentral lists this ribosomal RNA (497 nucleotides) under uncultured bacterium. Its description in RNAcentral is "partial 16S ribosomal RNA". It matches the Rfam family "Bacterial small subunit ribosomal RNA", at positions 28 to 507 of the family's 1533-position model. The record is from RNAcentral.